UUACCAUUGAGGUAAAUUUUUUUUGUUUAUUUUCUGGCAAUUUAUAUGAACAUAUACAAUUGAAAUAUUUUUUGUGUUUAUAUUUUUGGCAAUUUACAUUCAUAUUUACCAUUGAAAUAAUAAUUUUUUUUGGCAAUUUAUAUGAAUAUUUACCAUUCAAAUAAUAUUUUCAAUUUAUAUGAAUAUUUACAAUUGAAGUAAUAAUUUUUUGUUUAUUUUCUGGCAAUUUUAUAUGAACAUGUACAAUCGAGAUAAUAUUUUCUGGCCAUUUAUUUGAAUGUUUAUAAAGGAAAUAAUAUAUAUUUUCUCGAGUAGGUUUUGUUAGUUCCAUUUUCCCCCCAUGUGUUUUCGUGAGGUGAUUUUCGGAUACAUAUUUUUCAAAUAGUAAUAAUGAUAUUUAAUUGAUUUAUUUUAUAUAUUUAAGGGCCGUUUCGGCCGUUUCCGACCUUUCUCUCUCUCCAAGAAAAUUACCAUUUAAUUCUAUUUAAUUCCAUGUCUUUUGUGUGAAGGAAGAAAGGAAGGAAUUCCUUCCUGAUUAUUAUUCUGCGCCGACUGCUUCCUUCGUUAGGCUUCGUUUCCUUCCGAUUUCCCAUUAUUUACCUCAGAUUCAGCCUUAUUUCCCGUUAAUUUAGCCUCGUUUACCUCAAUUUCUACUGAUUUCCCUUUCAUUUAUCUUUAUUUCCCUCAGAUUUACACUUUUUUUGCCUCGUUCCUGCAUAUUUCCUUUUUAUUUAACCUCAGAUUUUCUAUUAUUUACCUCAGAUUUCUACUUAUUUCCCUUCACCUUAGCCUUAUUUACCUCAAAUGUAUCCUUACUUACCUCAGAAUUGUCCUUUUUACCUCAGAUUUCCACUCAUUUCUGUCAGAUUUCCCAUUAUUUACCUCAGAUUUAUCCUUAUUUGUCAGAUUUCCCAUUAUUUACCUCAAAUUUACACAUUUCCCUUCAAUUUAGCCUUAUGUUCCUCAGAUUUCUGCUUAUUUAGCUCCGAUUUCUACUCAUUUUCCUUCAAUUUAGCCUUACUUACCUCAGAAUUGUCCUAUUUCCCUCAGAUUUCCACUCAUUUCUGUCAGAUUUCCCAUUAUUUACCUCAGAUUUAUCCUUAUUUCCCUUAGAUUCCCCAUUAUUUACCUCAGAUUUACUUAUUUCCCUUCAAUUUUGCCUUAUUUCCCUCAGAUUUCUACUUAUUUAGCUCUGAUUUCUACCUAUUUCCCUUCAAUUUAGCCUUAUUUACAUUAGAAUUGUCCUUUUUACCUCAAUUUCUUCUUAUUUCCCUUAGAUUUAGCUUUAUUUACCUCAAAUGUAUCCUUAUUUACCUCAGAAUUGUCCUUUUUACCUCAGAUUUCUCCUUAUUUUCCUCAGAUUUCCCCUUUUCUGUCUGAUUUCCCAUUAUUUACCCCAGAUUUAACCUUAUUUCCCUUUAAUUUAUCUAUUUACCACAAUUUCUUCUGAUUUCCCUUUCAUUUAUAAUGAUUUCCCUACAAUUUAGCCUUAUUUACCUCGGAAUUGUCCUUUUAACCUCAGACAUACUUAUUUACCUCAGAUUUGUACUUAUUUACCUCAGAUUUCUACUCAUUUCCCUUUCAUUCAUCAUUAUUUCCCUCAGAUUUAUCCUUAUUUACUUCAUAUUUCUUCUUAUUUAGCUCAGAUUUCGACUUACUUCCCUUCAGUUUAGCCUUAUUUACCUCAGGAUUGUCCUUUUAACCUCAGAUUUGUACUUAUUCACCUCAGAUUUAUACUUAUUUUCCUCAGUAUUCGACUUAUUUCCCUCAGAUUUGUACUUAUUUCCCUCAGAUUUCUACUUAUUUCCCUUUCAUCCAUCAUUAUUUCCCUCAGAUUUAUCCUUAUUUACUUCAUAUUUCUUCUUAUUUAGCUCAGAUUUCGACUUACUUCCAUUCAGUUUAGCCUUAUUUACCUCAGAAUUUUCCUUUUAACCUCAGAUUUGUACUUAUUUACCUCAGAUUUGUACUUAUUUACCUCAGAUUUGUACUUAUUUCCCUCAGAUUUCUACUUAUUUCCCUUUCAUCCAUCAUUAUUUCCCUCAGAUUUAUCCUCAUUUACUUCAUAUUUCUUCUUAUUUAGCUCAGAUUUCGACUUACUUCCCUUCAGUUUAGCCUUAUUUACCUCAGAAUUGUCCUUUUAACCUCAGAUUUGUACUUAUUUACCUCAGUAUUCGACUUAUUUACCUCAGAUUUCUACUUAUUUCCCUCAGAUUUCUACUUAUUUCCCUUUCAUCCAUCAUUAUUUCCCUCAGAUUUAUCCUUAUUUACUUCAUAUUUGCUCUUAUUUAACUCAGAUUUCGACUUACUUCCCUUCAGUUUAGCCUUAUUUACCUCAGGAUUGUCCUUUUAACCUCAGAUUUGUACUUAUUUACCUCAGAUUUGUACUUAUUUACCUCAGAUUUAUACUUAUUUUCCUCAGUAUUCGACUUAUUUCCCUCAGAUUUGUACUUAUUUCCCUUUCUGUCAGCCUUAUUUACCACAGAUUUCUACUUUUUUAAACCUCAUCUAUACUUAUUUGGUUGUUAGAUAGUAUCCGUUUGGUAAUUUGUAGGUCUAUUUCUUAGGGAAAAAAGCCAAUCUUUCUCAUUAGAAAGGUGAACUGCAAUUCCCACAAUAAUGGGCCAGUCACCCCAAACCCUGCCUGUAUACACAGUUGGUUAUGUUGGAUCUGUGUUUGGUCAAGUUUGGUCCAGAUCUCACAUCGACUGGGUUCAGUGCUUUCUUGAUAAGGGCGAACUACAACUCCCAAAAUUAAGGUCUAUUCCCAGAAACCCUUGCUGGUCAUGGGACUUCUCUGUGCCAAGUUUGGUCCAUUGUCGGUGUGGGUCAGUUUCUCUGGGUGCAGGUCAACUAUAACUUCCAUAAAUUAAGAUAAUCCUCCCCCCCAAAAAAAUGUCUGUUCUGUUGGUCAUGGGGACUCUGUGUGCCAUGUUUGGUCCAUGCCGGUCAUUUGUGAGGGUUGUAGUGGUCUCUGGAAGUGAGUGAAGGUACUGCAGAUCCCAUCAUCCAUGGUCCAUCUUCCCACAAACUUCACCAGGAUGUAAAGUGGGUCAUUGGGGGUCUAUGUGCCAGGUUUGGUCCCGUUCCGUCAUUUGUGAGGGUUGUAGUGGUCUCUGGAAGUGAGUGAAGGUACUGCAGAUCCCAUCAUCCAUGGUGCAUCUUCCCCCAAACUUCACCAGGAUGUAAAGUGGGUCACGAGGAGUCUGUGUGCCAAGUUUGGUCCUGGUCCAUCAUUUGUAGAGGUCACAGUGGCCUAUGAAAGUUAAUGAAGGUACUGAAAAUCCCAUCAUCCAUGGUCCAUCUUCCCACAAACCGCACCAGGACAUAGAGUGGGUCUUUGGGGGUCUAUGUGCCAGGUUUGGUCCCGUUCCCUCAUUCGUGGGGGUCGUAGUGGUCUCUGGAAGUGAGUGGAGGUACUGCAGAUCCCAUCAUCCAUGGUCCAUCUUCCCACAAACCGCACCAGGACAUAGAGUGGGGCAUUGGGGGUCUAUGUGCCAGGUUUGGUCCCGUUCCCUCAUUCGUGGGGGUCACAGUGGUCUCUGGAAGUGAGUGAAGGUACUGCAAGUCCCAUCAUCCAGGGUCCGUCUUCCUCCAAACUUCACCAGGACAUAAAGUGGGUCAUGUAGUCUCUGUGUGCCAAGUUUGGUCCAGGUCCGUCAUUCGUGGGGGUCACAGUGGUCUCUGGAAGUGAGUGGAGGUACUGCAAAUCCCAUCAUCCAUGGUCCGUCUUCCUCCAAACUUCACCAGGACAUAAAAUGGGUCAUGUAGUCUCUGUGUGCCAAGUUUGGUCCCGUUCCCUCAUUCGUGGGGGUCACAGUGGUCUCUGGAAGUGAGUGAAGGUACUGCAAAUCCCAUCAUCCAUGGUCCGUCUUCCUCCAAAUUUCACCAGGACAUAAAGUGGGUCAUGUAGUCUCUGUGUGCCAAGUUUGGUCCAGGUCCGUCAUUGGUGGGGGUCACAGUUGUCUCUGGAAGUGAGUGGAGGUACUGUAAAUCCCAUCAUCCAUGGUCCAUCAUUCUCAAACGGAAUUUAAGGGAAAUCAUAAGGAAAUAAAAGGAAAUGAAGGGAAAUAAAACUGCAGGAAAUGAAAAGGAAAAUGAAGGGAGAUAAGAAAGCUGAGGGAAAUGAAGACGAAAUGAAGGGAGAUGAGGAAAUGAGGAGGAAAUGAAGGGAAAUAAGAAAACAGGGAAAUGAGGAGGAAAUGAAGGGAAAUAAGAAAACAGGGAAAUGAGGAGGAAAUGAAGGGAAAUAAGCAUAAACUGGAGGGAAAUGAUGAGGGAAAUUCAGGGAAAUGAGGAAAUGGAAAAUGAGGAAAUGAGGGAAUUUAAGGAAAAUAAUAAGGAAAUGACAAGGAAAUGAAGAGGAAAUUUGAAGAAAUAAUGAGGAAAUGAGAAAUGAGGAUAAAUGUAAGGAAAAUAAUAAGGAAAUGAGAAGGAAAUGAAGAGGAAAUUUGAAGAAAUAAUGAGGAAAUGAGAAAUGAGGAUAAAUGUAAGGGAAAUGAAGAGAAAUAAAAUGGGGGAAAUGAGGAGGAAAUGAGAAAUAAUGAGGAAAUCAAAUGAAAUAGGCAUGAACUGGAGGGAAAUAAUGAGGAAAUGAAGGGAAAUGUGGAAUUCAAGGAAAACAAUAAGGAAAUGAAAGGAAAUGAGGGGGAAUUUAAGGGAAAUAAUAAGGAAAUGAAAUGAAAUAAUGAGUAAAUGCAGGGAAAUGAGGAAAUGGAGGGAAAUGAUGAAAUGAAGGGAAAUAUGGAGGAAUUUAAGGAAAUGAAAGGAAGUAAUGAGGAAAUGCAGGGAAAUAAGGAGGAAAUGAAGGGAAAUAAUGAAAUGAAGGGAAAUAAUGAAAUGAAGGGAAAUAAUGAGGAAAUGGAGGAAAAUGAUGAGGACAUGAAGGGAAAUAAUGAGGAAAUGAAGGGAAAUGAGGGGGAAUUUAAGGGAAAUAAUAAGGAAAUGAAAGGAAAUAAUGAGGAAAUGAAGGGAAAUAAUGAGGAAAUGGAGGAAAAUGAUGAGGAAAUGAAGGGAAAUGUGGAGGAAUUUAAGGAAAUGAAAGGAAAUAAUGAGGAAAUGAAGGGAAAUGAGGAAAUGGAGGGAAAUGAUGAGGAAAUGAGGAAUUUAAGGAAAUGAAAGGAAAUAAUGAGGAAGGGAAAUAAUAAGGAAAUGAAGGGAAAUGAGGGGGAAUUUAAGGGAAAUAAUAAGGAAAUGAAAGGAAAUAAUGAGGAAAUGCA
Anolis carolinensis (green anole) is the source of this 5216-nucleotide long non-coding RNA. RefSeq lists it as uncharacterized. NCBI's taxonomy places the organism in Eukaryota, Metazoa, Chordata, Lepidosauria, Squamata, Anolidae. The transcript is spliced from 2 exons. The record is from RefSeq and is a predicted model, not a curated record.